UACGGGGGGGGCAAGCGUUGUCCGGAAUUAUUGGGCGUAAAGGGCUCGUAGGCGGUUUAUUACGUCUGCCGUGAAAUCCCCAGGCUUAACCUGGGAACUGCGUCGGAUACUGGAUGGCUUGAAUCCGGGAGAGGGAUGCGGAAUUCCAGGUGUAGCGGUGAAAUUCGUAGAUAUUCGCAAGAACACCAGUGGCGAAGGCGGCUCACUGGCCCGAUACUGACGCUGAGGUGCGAAAGCGUGGGGAGCAAACAGG
RNAcentral lists this ribosomal RNA (253 nucleotides) under uncultured bacterium. Its description in RNAcentral is "partial 16S ribosomal RNA". It matches the Rfam family "Bacterial small subunit ribosomal RNA", at positions 524 to 776 of the family's 1533-position model. The record is from RNAcentral.